Molecule: ribosomal RNA, 808 nt
Filed under: uncultured archaeon
Lineage: Archaea
Description: bacterial SSU rRNA
Rfam family: Archaeal small subunit ribosomal RNA
Source: RNAcentral
CCUUAGGUUGGGUAUAAACCCGGGAAACUGGGUAUAAUACCCGAUAGGUCUCGAUUGCUGGAAUGCAUCGAGAUUUAAAGCUCCGGCGCCUAAGGAUGGGUCUGCGGCCUAUCAGGUAGUAGUGGGUGUAGCGUACCUACUAGCCUACGACGGGUACGGGUUGUGAGAGCAAGAGCCCGGAGAUGGAUUCUGAGACACGAAUCCAGGCCCUACGGGGUGCAGCAGGCGCGAAAACUUUACAAUGCUGGCAACAGCGAUAAGGGAACCUCGAGUGCCAGGUUACAAAUCUGGCUGUCGAGAUGCCUAAAAAGCAUUUCAUAGCAAGGGCCGGGCAAGACCGGUGCCAGCCGCCGCGGUAACACCGGCGGCUCGAGUGGUAACCGUUAUUAUUGGGUCUAAAGGGUCUGUAGCCGGCCGGAUAAGUCUCUUGAGAAAUCUGGCAGCUUAACUGUCAGGCUUUCAGGAGAUACUGUCUGGCUCGAGGCCGGGAGAGGUGAGAGGUACUUCAGGGGUAGGGGUGAAAUCUUGUAAUCCUUGAAGGACCACCAGUGGCGAAGGCGUCUCACCAGAACGGACCUGACGGCAAGGGACGAAAGCUAGGGGCACGAACCGGAUUAGAUACCCGGGUAGUCCUAGCCGUAAACGAUACUCGCUAGGUGUCGGCCACGGUGCGACCGUUGUCGGUGCCGUAGGGAAGCCGUGAAGCGAGCCACCUGGGAAGUACGGCCGCAAGGCUGAAACUUAAAGGAAUUGGCGGGGGAGCACCACAACGGGUGGAGCUUGCGGUUUAAUUGGAUUCAACGCCGGG